CUACGGGCGGCAGCAGUGGGGAAUAUUGGACAAUGGGGGAAACCCUGAUCCAGCAAUGCCGCGUGUGUGAAGAAGGCCCGCGGGUUGUAAAGCACUUUCGGUUGGGAGGACUGCUUCUAGCACUAAUAUUGUUGGAAGUUGACGUUACCUUCAGAAGAAGCACCGGCUAACUCCGUGCCAGCAGCCGCGGUAAUACGGAGGGUGGCAAGCGUUAAUCGGAAUUACUGGGCGUAAAGCGCGCGUAGGCGGCUAGAUCAGUCGGGUGUGAAAGCCCCGGGCUUAACCUGGGAACUGCAUCCGAUACUGUCGAGCUUGAGUACAGGAGAGGAGAGUGGAAUUCCACAUGUAGCGGUGAAAUGCGUAGAUAUGUGGAGGAACACCAAUGGCGAAGGCAGCUCUCUGGCCUGAUACUGACGCUGAGGUGCGAAAGCGUGGGGAGCAAACAGGAUUAGAUACCCUAGUAGUC
RNAcentral lists this ribosomal RNA (466 nucleotides) under uncultured bacterium. RNAcentral's name for it is "partial 16S ribosomal RNA". It matches the Rfam family "Bacterial small subunit ribosomal RNA", at positions 339 to 795 of the family's 1533-position model. The record is from RNAcentral.